RNAcentral lists this unclassified non-coding RNA (320 nucleotides) under uncultured Spizellomycetales. RNAcentral describes it as "sequence contains 5.8S rRNA gene, ITS2, 28S rRNA gene". Lineage: Eukaryota; Fungi; Chytridiomycota; Chytridiomycetes; Spizellomycetales. The record is from RNAcentral.
AACGCACAUUGCGCUUCCUGGUAUUCCGGGGAGCAUGCCCGUUUCAGAAUCAAUAAAACCCUCACCAAGCUCAUUGCUUUAGGGCAUUGGGUGUAGGUGGAUCUGGAUUUUUGCGUCUGCAAUCAUCUUAAACUCAUUGUGUGUGCACCAAUCGAUGUAUCUUUUGGUUGUCCAAGUGCAGCAGAUUUAUCUAUUUCGCUUUGGCAGUUGACUGAUGCUCUUGAUGUGCAGACUUCAUUUUUAUACGGGAUUCAAAUCGGUAUGAUUUGGGUAUCUGAUAACUUGAUCUGAAAUCGGGCAAGAAAACCCGCUGAACUUAA